Felis catus (domestic cat) is the source of this 2884-nucleotide long non-coding RNA. RefSeq lists it as uncharacterized. The transcript is spliced from 2 exons. The record is from RefSeq and is a predicted model, not a curated record. Lineage: Eukaryota; Metazoa; Chordata; Mammalia; Carnivora; Felidae.
GACAGCUCAGAGCCUGGAGCCUGUUUCAGAUUCUGUGUCUCCCCCCCUUCCCCGCUCAUGCUCUGUCUCUCCCUCUCUCUGUCAAAAAUAAAUAAACAUAAAAAAACAAAACAAAUUGCAGAAAGGAGGAGGUCAUAUGCCCAGACUUCCCCUCCCAAAACAGCUUUCCAGCUGAACACAACAAAGACAAAAAACCAAAGCAACCCUCCUCCCUCCCACAACAGUUUUUUACCUACUGUCAGAGGAGGCAUAAGCCAAGAUUUCCAAAGGCACUAGUGGCUGCUUCCCAGGUGUCCCAGAGUGGGGUUUUAUUUUAGCGUGAGAACAAAUUCCAUUUAUUGAGCGUCUACUUUGCCAGCCACGGUCCAAAUUUCUUUAUAUACACCUAAUUCAUUCUAACAAAAGCCAUUUAAGGUUUGUAUUAUAAUGAUCUUCAUAUCACAGAUGAAGGGACUGAUGCUCAGAAAGGUUAAGUACUUCUCUUUAGUUUUUUAAUUUUAUUUUUGAGAGAGACAGAGUGCAAGUGGGGGAGGGGCAGAGGGAGAGGGAGACAGAAUCCAAAGCAGGCUCCAGGCUCUGAGCUGUCAGCACAGAGCCCGACGCGGGGCUCGAACUCAUAGACUGUGAGAACAUGACCUGAGCUGAAGUCGGACACCCAACUAAUUGAGCACCCAGGCGCCCCAGUACUUCUGUGUUUAAACUGUGACUUCCUCAGGCAAAGAAGAUGCUUAAGAACAGUACUUGUCAGUGGGAAGUGGUAUCUGGAAGCAGGAAUGAGAAGCCUGGAACUGUGUGGAGAGGGGCGCCUGGCUGCCUCAGGCGGAAGAGCAUGUGACUCUUGAUCUUGGGGUUGUGACUUCAAGAUCCACGCUGGAUGUAGAGAUCAAAUAAAUAAAGCUUAAAAAAAAAAUGUGUGGAGAAUAGAAGAGGUAAGGUAAUAGCAAAUUACGAAAACUGCAUGUCCCAGCAAGAACUGCCAUUCAUCCCUACCACUCAGGCUCAGACUGGGUUAUGCUCUAGGGGUGUGUGUAAACACAUCUCUAUAGCAACCAUCUGGUUUCUGUCCUUCUAUGACAAUACAGGCUUGCAGUGUCUAAAUAUGGGCACUGGUGAGGAUGAGUGUGGCUGGGGAGGGGAAGUUGCCUGCUGAGUCAAAGGAAAAUUGUGCAGAAAAGGCAGAUUCCUUUGGUGUGCCCUCAUCUACCCCUCCCAGCCCACCCCCAAGGUAGGAAAGGGGCUUAAGACCCUGAUCUCUCUUCGGUUCACAGCAGUUGCAGUUAAGAGCUAAGCCCUGCAUACAUUUUGUCUUAUUUUAACCAGGUAUGUAAAUUCCUGUGCAGUCAGGGGGGGAUCCCCUUGGUUCAAAAGGGGGAGGGUAGAAACUUUUGCUUCCUAUUUCACCCCAGGUGUCACUUUCGGGGCCAUGGAGGUAGAAGCUGGAGGAUCCCAUCUGCUGAAGGCAUGGAUGCCUUGUCACAGGUGGAAUGCUCAACCUACCUACCUGGGAUCCUGGGAGACAGGCCUGAGGAGACUGUGCCCCAUAACCCUCUGGGGACUUUGGUCAAGACUGAUACCAAACAACUUUUAUUUUUUUUAAUUUAUUUUUUUGGGGACAGAGAGAGACAGAGCAUGAACGGGGGUGGGGCAGAGAGAGAGGGAGACACAGAAUUGGAAACAGGCUCCAGGCUCCGAGCCAUCAGCCCAGAGCCUGACGCGGGGCUCGAACUCACGGACCGCGAGAUCGUGACCUGGCUGAAGUCAGACGCUUAACUGACUGCGCCACCCAGGCGCCCCAAUACCAAACCACUUUUAAACCGGUUGAGAACCUUAAUGUGAAUUCAUUGCACAAGCGGUCCCAUCUCUGUAUGAUCUUUGGAUUCUGCCCCCAAUGCAGAACUCUCCCACUCACAAAACCUUCAUCCCGGGUCCCCUCAUUUCUCUGAGGUCUCACACAGAAACUCUUAAGAGGAAUUUCCCUCAACCCACUCAUUCAAAUUACACCCACGUUUCCCCUCAGACCCUGCUUUGUUUGCAGCCCUGGAGGGUUUUCCCCUCCUCCAGUAUCAGAAAGUGGGGAAACUGAGAUACUUCUAGCUCCCUAAUGUCAUUUUCAGGCCAUUAUUCUUCCAAGAUAUUUACAUGCCAUUCCUCCUGCUAUGGAGUUCAGGCUAAACUCUCCUUCAUGUUCUUGGCUACUCCUGGUCACUUCUAUACCAGGACUGUUAUGAGGCUUCCUCUUCUCCCCAAUCCUACAUAAUUCUGGGUUGAUUGCAACACCUUGAUUUACUGAUCCAACAUUCCAAGCCCAUAAUUCUCUGUUGUUGUUUUGUAAGCUAACUGCUUUAAUCUUCCUUUUAUAAAAAAGACAGUUGGGUUUAACAAGAGAUAACAACAAAACCACAAAUACUUGAGCUACCUACCUUUGCAGCUGGAUGUAGGAGCUCCCUUGUUCUUUGACUCUAAUGACCUUUACUUUUACCCCACUUUAGACACCCAUUCCUACUACCCAUUUCAUUACAUGGAAGAGUUCCAACUCCAAAAUCUUAACUCUAACAUCACUGUGACCACCAGGUCCUGAGCUUCCAACUUAAUCACUUCUUUCACUUCUAAAUCGUCAUCAGCUCUUUCACCUUAUCAAGACCUCUCUUGACCAGAGCUGAUCAUACCUUCUUUGGCCUACCUUUUCACCCAGUCUGAAUAGGGUGGAUAUCUUGAACUGUCCCUCCCCAGCACCUUCCACCCCCUUAUUCCCUUAUCAGUCCACUCAAUGUGUCCACAGACUAUGAUCCAGGAGCUACAUAAUAAUGCAUCUUAUCUGCUCUUGUACCCAGGCGGCUGGGUGUUGCUAGAGAAAACAGCAGAAAUAUAGAUUGGUACCAUUCCA